GAAAGCUGAGGACUAUUUUUUUUG
RNAcentral lists this non-coding RNA (24 nucleotides) under Cricetulus griseus (Chinese hamster). The record is from RNAcentral. Lineage: Eukaryota; Metazoa; Chordata; Mammalia; Rodentia; Cricetidae.